Molecule: non-coding RNA, 24 nt
Filed under: Arabidopsis thaliana (thale cress)
Lineage: Eukaryota; Viridiplantae; Streptophyta; Magnoliopsida; Brassicales; Brassicaceae
Source: RNAcentral
GACAAGGUGCUUGCUGUGCCUUGG